ACGAACGCUGGCGGCAUGCCUAACACAUGCCAGUCGCACGAAGGCUUCGGCCUUAGUGGCGCACGGGUGCGUAACGCGUGGGAAUCUGCCCUUUGGUUCGGAAUAACAGCUGGAAACGGCUGCUAAUACCGGAUGAUGACGAAAGUCCAAAGAUUUAUCGCCAGAGGAUGAGCCCGCGUUGGAUUAGGUAGUUGGUGGGGUAAAGGCCUACCAAGCCGACGAUCCAUAGCUGGUCUGAGAGGAUGAUCAGCCACACUGGGACUGAGACACGGCCCAGACUCCUACGGGAGGCAGCAGUGGGGAAUAUUGGACAAUGGGCGCAAGCCUGAUCCAGCAAUGCCGCGUGAGUGAUGAAGGCCCUAGGGUUGUAAAGCUCUUUUACCCGGGAAGAUAAUGACUGUACCGGGAGAAUAAGCCCCGGCUAACUCCGUG
Molecule: ribosomal RNA, 432 nt
Filed under: uncultured bacterium
Lineage: Bacteria
Description: partial 16S ribosomal RNA
Rfam family: Bacterial small subunit ribosomal RNA
Source: RNAcentral